AAAAGGCUUCAAUGCAAUGCAUAAAUAUCUCUCAGUCAUGUUUAAGCUUUGGGACAGAAUGUAGGGAUCAUGCACCCUGCAGCCUUGUCUGAGGAGGUCAUAGGCCAGAGCAGUGCCAUUAUGGACAAUAAAGCACUUGCCAUGGAGGACAAUCUGGGCUGUAUUUAACCUUGUAGGCAUGCAGUUAACAACCUAAGAACCAAAACAGGCACUAGCAUUGAGUUGGAGGAGCCCAAAUGAAUCCCUGAAAUGGUGGAGCAUGCCUUUUAGCUGACAGCUUUGGGCAGGUGAGCCCACUCAGGCUGAGAUAUCCUUGAAAAGGAGAUGUUUCUUGCCACAACAUCUGACCUGCUCCUGGGGCUGAACUUGGCUUGUGCAUCAAUUCCCAUUAGAAACAGUUGCAGGAGAUGUGGGUAUGUGAAGAAUGUGAGAAUGUGCUGUGUAUUUAGAGGUCAUUGCUGGUGAGGGAUAUUCAGUAUGCUGUAGGCUGGCACUAUCUGGGUUCUCCCAGAUAGUUUUGGUUUUGGUUUAAACAUGUGCCAGUGAAUUGUAAAUUCUACUGAAUAGAACAAUAUACUACUUUUGUCAGCCAGAAAAUACAGAUUGGGAUAUGUUUCAGCAGAAGAGAUGGUAUUUUAUUUUUUCAUUUCUUCUUCACUUAGU
This is a long non-coding RNA of Oenanthe melanoleuca, 663 nucleotides long. RefSeq lists it as uncharacterized. The record is from RefSeq and is a predicted model, not a curated record. Lineage: Eukaryota; Metazoa; Chordata; Aves; Passeriformes; Muscicapidae. The transcript has 4 exons.